CCUCGCCAGUGACCAAGGGCGAGUCCCCUAGGAGGCGGGCGGUUCUGGUAACGGAGCCGUUCGGAGCCCUCCGAUAAAGAGACCUCAAGACCGGGUGGGCCAUCACCUGGCACAAGGUAAG
Molecule: non-coding RNA, 121 nt
Organism: Micromonospora cremea
Lineage: Bacteria; Bacillati; Actinomycetota; Actinomycetes; Micromonosporales; Micromonosporaceae
Source: Rfam